UAGGGAAUCUUCGGCAAUGGACGAAAGUCUGACCGAGCAACGCCGCGUGAGUGAAGAAGGUUUUCGGAUCGUAAAACUCUGUUGUUAGAGAAGAACAAGGACGUUAGUAACUGAACGUCCCCUGACGGUAUCUAACCAGAAAGCCACGGCUAACUACGUGCCAGCAGCCGCGGUAAUACGUAGGUGGCAAGCGUUGUCCGGAUUUAUUGGGCGUAAAGCGAGCGCAGGCGGUUUCUUAAGUCUGAUGUGAAAGCCCCCGGCUCAACCGGGUAGGGUCAUUGGAAACUGGGAGACUUGAGUGCAGAAGAGGAGGGUGGAAUUCCAUGUGUAGCGGUGAAAUGCGUAGAUAUAUGGAGGAACACCAGUGGCGAAGGCGGCUCUCUGGUCUGUAACUGACGCUGAGGCUCGAAAGCGUGGGGAGCAAACAGG
RNAcentral lists this ribosomal RNA (429 nucleotides) under Gemmatimonadota bacterium. RNAcentral describes it as "Gemmatimonadetes bacterium partial 16S ribosomal RNA". It matches the Rfam family "Bacterial small subunit ribosomal RNA", at positions 355 to 776 of the family's 1533-position model. The record is from RNAcentral. Lineage: Bacteria; Pseudomonadati; Gemmatimonadota.